GAAGCCAGAUAUCUUCGACGACAUACAUACACAUAUCAUGUCGAUCACAACAGGACGCUCGCUUCUAUUCCCAACUAUAUUGCUGCUCUUGAUGAUCCUGCCCACGCUUGGAGGACCCGCCGGCCAAUCCUACACAGGUCAAGUCCGUCCAGGUGGCCUUGGGGGCGGCUCUCCCACACGCCAGCCGCCUACUCCUUGUCCCUCUCCUCAACGUUGCCGUUGUCUUCCACAUUGUGAACUUGUAACGACUGCGACUUGAAUAGUCUAUCAAACUUCACACGAAUGGUAAAAUACGUUACUUCCCUAAAAAAACCGUGACGGUCGGUUUAUAUAUGGAUCAGUUAUGUAAAUUGGGAAAUGUAUACGCGUAGCAUCACAUUUAGUGAAUUUGAGUUCUGAGUUCCUCUAAACGCCUACCAAAUUUGUAUAAGAGUAUUCAGUAUAUGAUCAGCAAGCGAUAAAUUUUCAUCAUCUUAGUAUUAUCCAACUGUUUA
Long non-coding RNA from Triticum dicoccoides, 494 nucleotides. RefSeq lists it as uncharacterized. The transcript has 2 exons. NCBI's taxonomy places the organism in Eukaryota, Viridiplantae, Streptophyta, Magnoliopsida, Poales, Poaceae. The record is from RefSeq and is a predicted model, not a curated record.